Molecule: ribosomal RNA, 759 nt
Filed under: Parahaemophilus parainfluenzae
Lineage: Bacteria; Pseudomonadati; Pseudomonadota; Gammaproteobacteria; Pasteurellales; Pasteurellaceae
Description: Haemophilus parainfluenzae bacterial SSU rRNA
Rfam family: Bacterial small subunit ribosomal RNA
Source: RNAcentral
AUUGAACGCUGGCGGCAGGCUUAACACAUGCAAGUCGAACGGUAACAUAAAGAAGCUUGCUUCUUUGAUGACGAGUGGCGGACGGGUGAGUAAUGCUUGGGAAUCUAGCUUAUGGAGGGGGAUAACUACGGGAAACUGUAGCUAAUACCGCGUAGAAUCGAGAGAUGAAAGUGUGGGACCUUCGGGCCACAUGCCAUAGGAUGAGCCCAAGUGGGAUUAGGUAGUUGGUGAGGUAAAGGCUCACCAAGCCGACGAUCUCUAGCUGGUCUGAGAGGAUGACCAGCCACACUGGGACUGAGACACGGCCCAGACUCCUACGGGAGGCAGCAGUGGGGAAUAUUGCGCAAUGGGGGCAACCCUGACGCAGCCAUGCCGCGUGAAUGAAGAAGGCCUUCGGGUUGUAAAGUUCUUUCGGUAGCGAGGAAGGCAUUUAGUUUAAUAGACUAGGUGAUUGACGUUAACUACAGAAGAAGCACCGGCUAACUCCGUGCCAGCAGCCGCGGUAAUACGGAGGGUGCGAGCGUUAAUCGGAAUAACUGGGCGUAAAGGGCACGCAGGCGGUGACUUAAGUGAGGUGUGAAAGCCCCGGGCUUAACCUGGGAAUUGCAUUUCAUACUGGGUCGCUAGAGUACUUUAGGGAGGGGUAGAAUUCCACGUGUAGCGGUGAAAUGCGUAGAGAUGUGGAGGAAUACCGAAGGCGAAGGCAGCCCCUUGGGAAUGUACUGACGCUCAUGUGCGAAAGCGUGGGGAGCAAACAGG